RNAcentral lists this ribosomal RNA (316 nucleotides) under uncultured eukaryote. RNAcentral describes it as "partial 18S ribosomal RNA". It matches the Rfam family "Eukaryotic small subunit ribosomal RNA", at positions 1470 to 1796 of the family's 1831-position model. The record is from RNAcentral.
CCCUUAGAUGUUCUGGGCCGCACGCGCGCUACACUGAUGCAUUCAACGAGUCUACAACCUGGUCUGAUAGGGCUGGGUAAUCUUUUGAAUGUGCAUCGUGAUUGGGAUAGAUGAUUGCAAUUCUUCAUCUUCAACGAGGAAUGCCUAGUAAACGCAAGUCAUCAGCUUGCAUUGAUUACGUCCCUGCCCUUUGUACACACCGCCCGUCGCACCUACCGAUUGAAUGGUCCGGUGAAGCCUCCGGAUUGGCGCGCACCUCGGUGCCGCCGAGAAGUUGGCUAAACCUUACCAUUUAGAGGAAGGUGAAGUCGUAACA